GGCGUGCUUAACACAUGCAAGUCGAACGGUGAAAGCGGAGCUUGCUCUGCUGGAUCAGUGGCGAACGGGUGAGUAACACGUGAGCAAUCUGCCCCUGACUCUGGGAUAAGCGCUGGAAACGGCGUCUAAUACCGGAUACGAGCUGCGAAGGCAUCUUCAGCAGCUGGAAAGAACUUCGGUCAGGGAUGAGCUCGCGGCCUAUCAGCUAGUUGGUGAGGUAACGGCUCACCAAGGCGUCGACGGGUAGCCGGCCUGAGAGGGUGACCGGCCACACUGGGACUGAGACACGGCCCAGACUCCUACGGGAGGCAGCAGUGGGGAAUAUUGCACAAUGGGCGAAAGCCUGAUGCAGCAACGCCGCGUGAGGGACGACGGCCUUCGGGUUGUAAACCUCUUUUAGCAGGGAAGAAGCGAAAGUGACGGUACCUGCAGAAAAAGCGCCGGCUAACUACGUGCCAGCAGCCGCGGUAAUACGUAGGGCGCAAGCGUUAUCCGGAAUUAUUGGGCGUAAAGAGCUCGUAGGCGGUUUGUCGCGUCUGCUGUGAAAACCCGAGGCUCAACCUCGGGCCUGCAGUGGGUACGGGCAGACUAGAGUGCGGUAGGGGAGAUUGGAAUUCCUGGUGUAGCGGUGGAAUGCGCAGAUAUCAGGAGGAACACCGAUGGCGAAGGCAGAUCUCUGGGCCGUAACUGACGCUGAGGAGCGAAAGGGUGGGGAGCAAACAGGCUUAGAUACCCUGGUAGUCCACCCCGUAAACGUUGGGAACUAGUUGUGGGGACCAUUCCACGGUUUCCGUGACGCAGCUAACGCAUUAAGUUCCCCGCCUGGGGAGUACGGCCGCAAGGCUAAAACUCAAAGGAAUUGACGGGGACCCGCACAAGCGGCGGAGCAUGCGGAUUAAUUCGAUGCAACGCGAAGAACCUUACCAAGGCUUGACAUAUACGAGAACGGGCCAGAAAUGGUCAACUCUUUGGACACUCGUAAACAGGUGGUG
RNAcentral lists this ribosomal RNA (992 nucleotides) under Microbacterium lacticum. RNAcentral describes it as "bacterial SSU rRNA". It matches the Rfam family "Bacterial small subunit ribosomal RNA", at positions 41 to 1043 of the family's 1533-position model. The record is from RNAcentral. Lineage: Bacteria; Bacillati; Actinomycetota; Actinomycetes; Micrococcales; Microbacteriaceae.